GAAAUGCGAUAAGUAAUGUGAAUUGCAGAAUUCCGUGAAUCAUCGAAUCUUUGAACGCACAUUGCGCCCUCUGGUAUUCCGGGGGGCAUGCCUGUCCGAGCGUCAUUGCGAACCCCUCAAGCACGGCUUGUGUGAUGGGCCCUCCCGCGUCUUGGUCGUCAAGACGGGCCCGAAAUGCAGUGGCGGCUUCGCGGUUAUCCGAUCAGCCAGAGCGUAUGGGGACUCUCUCUCUUGUCACACGCCCGCGGCGCGGACCGACGCCUGUCCGGUUAACAAUCUUUCUUCCAAGGUUGACCUCGGAUCAGGUAGGGAUACCCGCUGAACUUAAGC
This 330-nucleotide unclassified non-coding RNA is filed under the name plant metagenome. Its description in RNAcentral is "partial contains 5.8S ribosomal RNA, internal transcribed spacer 2, and large subunit ribosomal RNA". The stretch from base 1 to 105 matches the Rfam family "5.8S ribosomal RNA", at positions 50 to 154 of the family's 154-position model. The record is from RNAcentral.